RNAcentral lists this long non-coding RNA (2692 nucleotides) under Diabrotica virgifera virgifera (western corn rootworm). Its description in RNAcentral is "uncharacterized LOC126879648". Lineage: Eukaryota; Metazoa; Arthropoda; Insecta; Coleoptera; Chrysomelidae. The record is from RNAcentral.
AUGGGUGGAAAGUUACCACAAGAUAUUCUAUGAACAUAGUAAGUACAAUGUCUUCCUGGAGGGGUAAAAUUUUCCAUUACAAGAUUUUAAGAGAGGCCAUUUAUUGUACUGUUCAAUUUGCGUUCAUUUUCAAAUUUGCCGCGCGAGUAUCUAUGUAGCGUCUCGUGGUCAUUGGUCAUCACAUUUCAUUUUCAUAACAUAACCGAUAACCGACACCGAUAACCUAAAAAUUUAGCAAAGUAAAAAUUUUGAUUGGAAAAAAAUGCAUCGAUAAGGGGGUGUGGGAAAUGGAAAUUAGUGGCUUUUUUGCUGUACUGUCUGCUAGUUUUUGCUCUGGGCUCUGGCUAGAUCUCUUGUUUAAACAAUUUUAAUCAGCUGAAAGUGGCCUACAAAAAAAAACCAAGAAGGAAAUGUAUAGCCUUGUGGCUAUGAAAGGCAAAAGAGAGAUAUAAAAAGUGUAUUGGCUAGUUGGAAGAAAGUCCACAUUGUCCAUGCAUAAUAAGUUAUUACUUUAUCAACAAAUAUCAAGAAGAUAGCAGGGUCACGAGCAUCAACUUCAUGAGUUCAAGAAUAUUGAGGAAAUCCAGCUCCUCGAUACUACUGGGCAAACUAGAAGAUUGAAGAGGACAAAUCCUUUUGAACUAGUUUGAGUGAUAGGUGAUAGUGAAAAACGGAGCAUAGUGCUUGUGUGCUGUGCCUGUGUAUGUUAGAAUAGUGCAUGAUCUUGUUAGAUUAGAUAAGAGACGCUAUGGGGUAAGCUCUUCAUUUUAAGAAACAGUAGUAAUUUAGGUUAAAUUAAAAUUGCUCAUUGGUCAGUUAUGACCAGAUUGUUUUUUUAUGUUUGGCAAAAAGGACUUAAGUCAGAAUUGCACAUUGAUAAUGUUUUGAUGAUUUCUGGACCAGAAAAAAACUGUUGUAGAUGUAAACUGUAUGUACAGUAGAAUCUACUACAGUACUGUAGAAAUCAUCAAAACAUUAUCGAUGUGCAAUUCUGACUUAAGCCCUUUUUCCCAAACAUCAGAGAAUUGUAAUGUACAAUAAUUCUCCUAUCUGCUUUUUCAUGAAUUUUGUAGGAGACGAAAAACCAUUUUUAGGAUCAUCUGCUUUCACAUGUAAAUUUUGACAUGUUUUGUAGUAAAUAGAUAGUUGAAUUUACUACAAAACAUGUCAAAAAAUAUAUGAAAACAGGAGGUGACUAUAAAAAAAGUUUUUAGUCUCUCUUACAAAACUCAUGAAAAAACAAAUCGGAGGUAUGUCACAUCAGUGACUAAGAAUGUCUAAAAAAUAUACUUUGAUGUCCCAAGAACCAAAUAUAACCUACAGUCCAUCUAAUUUACUUACUGUUGCACGUCAUUAUCUACGCCAGAGAUCUAAGUUGACAUAGUUACCAAAGUAUAAAAAGAUCCUGAAUCCAUUUUAAAUCAAAUAUGUCACAUAAUUAUUGUAAACGUGGAUUAUACAACAAAACAAAUUAAUAUUCAAUGUAAAUAAGUAAAAACUUAAGAAAUAGAGAACAAGAAUUAAGUUAUAAUCUUUUAAGAUUUGCAGUGCAAGAGUUUUUGCACUGCAUUGUUAAUAAUUAAAAAACGGCUCCGAACUCUUGGCAAAAAGCCGGUAGGUUUCUUUGUAUAAGUAUGUCUACAAUAACAACUAAAAAAGUUGUCAGAUACCUCGAUUAUUCCAAGUCGUUAUAAAAUUAGGUGAAAUUUAUAUUUUUAUAGUAGAGGAUCUUUUUAUAGUAAAGUAAAUAAUAAAAACAGUAAAUAUAAUAAAUAAAACAGAUACUUAUAGUAAAGAAUAUAAACAAAUAUGAAGUGUCAUCACCGUAACUGUCAAAUAAAUGUUACCAAUUUAUUCUAAAAUGUCACCUUCGUUCGAUUACAGUUACAGUGUGAUCCGAACAAAACAUAUUAUUGUGUAUUUCUUUAGGUUAACAUUAAUAGAAAUCUUCAAAUAUUAUUUCUACGCGUAUAUAAUGAAAUAUGUCUAGUGGCUGUAAUUCCAGUGUACUCAGCAAAGUGAUUCUAAAAAAGAACACACCUACCGCCUAAAUAUUUCGUGUUGGUAUCAUGCGACCUCACAGGCUACUACGCGGAUGACGCGCAACAGUUAGUAAAUUAGACGAAGUAUGUAGAUAUAUACAGGGUGUAACAAAAAUACAGGUCAUAAAUUUAAUCACAUAUUCUGGGACCAAAAAUAGUUUGAUUGGACCUAACUUACCUUAGUACAAAUGUGCACACAAGAAAAGUUACAGCCCUUUGAAGUUAUAUAUAUAUAAUAGCACCAAGGGUCUUAGAGGCCCAUGGCUUGAAAAGUUUGUUUUUUUUCUUCAUUUUCACGUUUCUUUAUGUACUGAGAUCUUCUCUGGCUUGAUAUGUGAUUUUUCUCCAUUCCUUCCUGUUAUUCAUUUUUCUUUUCUGACCCUGUAGCACCAUUCUUUCCAAAUCUUUUUCGACCUCUUGCUUCCAUCUAUUUUUCGGCCUUCCUCUUCUCUUUCUUGAAGCUGUAGUGUAGUUUAGUACCAUUUUUGGAGUCCUCGUGUUUGGCAUCCUUUCAAUGUGACCUCGCCAUCUAAGUCUCUGUGCCUUUAUCAUUCAUUUGAAGUUACAAGAUGAAGUGAUUUUUUCCAAUAUAUCGAAAACUAUUCGAGAUUUUUUAUUGAAAAUGGACAUGUGGCAUUAUUAUGGCAGCA